GUCCCUGUAGCGCAAUGGAUAACGCUUUGGACUUCGAACCCAAAUAUUGUAGGUUCGAAUCUUACCUGGGAUG
Molecule: non-coding RNA, 73 nt
Organism: Trichonephila inaurata madagascariensis
Lineage: Eukaryota; Metazoa; Arthropoda; Arachnida; Araneae; Nephilidae
Source: the annotation of a GenBank genome assembly